CCUUGUGGACUUCUCAGCCUCUGUCAGGAUGAAUUGGAUGGGUAUCAUUGUUUUUGUGCACCUGGUUUUAUAGGUCAUAAUUGUGACACAGAGGUAGAUGAGUGCCUGAGUGCCCCAUGCCACAAUGGAGCCACUUGUGUUGACCAGCUUAAUGCUUUCAACUGCUUGUGUUCCAAUGGAUUUCAAGGCACUCUUUGUGAAAUCAAUAUCAAUGAAUGUCACUCAGACCCGUGUCUCCAUAACGCCACCUGUACAGACCUUGUCAAUGGAUAUAACUGUGCGUGCCUAUCUGGCUUCACAGGUACGCACUGUGAAACUGAUAUAGAUGAGUGUGCGUCUUUUCCCUGCAAUAAUGGAGGCACCUGCAUUGACCGGCCUGGUAAUUACUACUGCCAGUGUGUGGCUCCAUUUAAAGUUUGUCAGUAGUCAAACAUGGCCAAUGAGCAUGCUCACUCCCUUUUGGCUUCCCUGCUGACACCUCCUUCCUAUGUGUGGAUGCUCCUGUUUUGACUA
Pogona vitticeps (central bearded dragon) is the source of this 513-nucleotide non-coding RNA. The record is from RefSeq and is a predicted model, not a curated record. NCBI's taxonomy places the organism in Eukaryota, Metazoa, Chordata, Lepidosauria, Squamata, Agamidae.